Dermacentor andersoni is the source of this 1230-nucleotide long non-coding RNA. RefSeq lists it as uncharacterized. The record is from RefSeq and is a predicted model, not a curated record. NCBI's taxonomy places the organism in Eukaryota, Metazoa, Arthropoda, Arachnida, Ixodida, Ixodidae.
GGCUGCUCUGGAACCGAACGUCUUCGUAGAUACCAUGGUCUGCAAAAUUAUGUCGCCGGGUGUAGAUGUAGCGCAAACAUGGCCAGCUCGGUUUCUGGGAGAGCUCAACGACGGAAGUCAUGGAUUCUGACAGCGAGUACACCGUAGCCAUGGGUCUCCGCAUGACAAAACAGAUGGGCCGGACGUCGAGUGAGCCGACAUCACUGACCCAAACGAUCAACAAUACUUCAUGGUUUCUUAAGCGCCCCGCCCGCCGGCGCACAAUGUGACCACUCGGAUUGGCCGGCAUGGACCUGUACCCUGGCCUGCAAGGUAUAGCAGCGAAGCUACCGCACGGGACGCCCUAAAGGCAGAAAUAAGCAGAGCCUGCCGCGACAUCCCAACGUCGUUGGUCAAAGCUGCAACAGCACAAGUGUCGGAAAGAAGGAAGUACUGUUUUACCCCAGACGGUGACCUGUUUGAGCACGUGCUAUAAGUAUCAGUGGAAAAUAACCGCUCAAAACUGGUGUAAAACAUGACUGCUUAACGCACCUUCAUUAUGUCACCCUAUCCUUACAUAAAAAAAUGCUGGCCACAAAGAUAGAAAUAGGAAAAAAGAACUGCUGUGUUUUGCCUCUUUUCUGAAGUUUAAGAGACAGAAAGGGUAAAUGGCUAAACCAGUUGUACCUUAACACGUUUCUUAUUGGGCGGCCAAGAUGCCUUACGUGAUAUUGGUUUUUUUUUAUUGAAAUAAACUCCCGAGUAGCUCUUUUCUGUUCUUCCGAGAACUGCCUUUUUUUUUCUUUUUUUCGUGCUCUUGUGCGUGCUUUUUUUAAAACAUUGCUUGAAUUUCUUUUGUAGCUUUGUUUCAUGAUACGCGAAUGCUAAAGCUAUCCGGAGUGGCUCAUAAUCGAGCACAACAGUUCGGCGUCAGCAGAUGCUGACGCUCAUUGCACCACAGUAGUUAGGUCGUGAAAGCUCUCGAGCCAUUCUAUAGAUGACGAAGCCUUGUUGGAUGCGGCGAUGAACGAAUGCAGUCGUAUUUCUUUCAAAGGUUGCUUGGAUGCGCUUGAGUAGCGGCGCGCGAGAGCGCAUCUAUUGCAUAUUUGGCGUAUUUCGAGGGCUUUUGUUUUUUUCUUGGAAAAAACAAUGAGGCAGACUACAGUACGAAGCAAAUGCUUGAUUAGGAGCUUACUUGAAGUGCCCUACAACUUUGUAAUUGGCAUGUUUGCAAUUCAAGCAAUAAAUAAA